RNAcentral lists this ribosomal RNA (252 nucleotides) under uncultured bacterium. RNAcentral's name for it is "partial 16S ribosomal RNA". It matches the Rfam family "Bacterial small subunit ribosomal RNA", at positions 524 to 776 of the family's 1533-position model. The record is from RNAcentral.
UACGUAGGGGGCAAGCGUUGUCCGGAAUCAUUGGGCGUAAAGAGCGUGUAGGCGGCCCGAUAAGUCCGCUGUGAAAGUCCAGGGCUCAACCCUGGGAUGCCGGUGGAUACUGUCGGGCUCGAAUCCGGAAGAGGUGAGUGGAAUCUCGGUGUAGCAGUGAAAUGCGUAGAUAUCGAGAGGAACACCUGCGGCGAAGGCGGGUUGCUGGGCUGACACUGACGCUGAAGCGCGAAAGCUAGGGGAGCGAACGGG